Molecule: ribosomal RNA, 497 nt
Filed under: uncultured bacterium
Lineage: Bacteria
Description: partial 16S ribosomal RNA
Rfam family: Bacterial small subunit ribosomal RNA
Source: RNAcentral
GAUGAACGCUGGCGGCGUGCCUAAUACAUGCAAGUCGAGCGAACAGACGAGGAGCUUGCUCCUCUGACGUUAGCGGCGGACGGGUGAGUAACACGUGGAUAACCUACCUAUAAGACUGGGAUAACUUCGGGAAACCGGAGCUAAUACCGGAUAUUAGAUUGAACGGCAUGGUUCAAUAGUGAAAGACGGUUUUGCUGUCACUUAUAGAUGGAUCCGCGCCGCAUUAGCUAGUUGGUAAGGUAACGGCUUACCAAGGCAACGAUGCGUAGCCGACCUGAGAGGGUGAUCGGCCACACUGGAACUGAGACACGGUCCAGACUCCUACGGGAGGCAGCAGUAGGGAAUCUUCCGCAAUGGGCGAAAGCCUGACGGAGCAACGCCGCGUGAGUGAUGAAGGUCUUCGGAUCGUAAAACUCUGUUAUUAGGGAAGAACAAAUGUGUAAGUAACUAUGCACGUCUUGACGGUACCUAAUCAGAAAGCCACGGCUAACUACGUG